RNAcentral lists this ribosomal RNA (119 nucleotides) under Lepisosteus oculatus (spotted gar). The record is from RNAcentral. Lineage: Eukaryota; Metazoa; Chordata; Actinopteri; Semionotiformes; Lepisosteidae.
GCCAGCAGCCAUAUCACCCUGCAGCUCACACGUGGCAACCCACUGAUGUGAAGCAGGUUUGAGCCUGGUCAGUAUCUGGAUGGGAGACCUCCUGGGAAAACCUAAAGUUUCUGCCGGAA